GCAACUGAUAUUUUUCUUACAAAACUUAAAAGCAGAGCAUGGAAUUGAAGUCCUGAAUACUCUGUUUUCUGCAUCUUCACACCUAUUUUUGGAGAUAGUGAGCCGUCUCCUAGAAUCAUCUUCUCCUGUCUUAUUUAAUUAAACCCCUCCUGACUCUUCCAUUGUGUGGUUUCUCAAAACAAAGAAAUGUGUACUCUUGACUUCUUAUUAAAACUCAUGCAUUUCCACUUUAUUUUAACUGAAAGUAGGAUAGGUGUAUGAACCUUAAGAAUAUAAUAAGGGGGAGAAAGUUAGUAUGUAGCAGUGCCAACAGAUCCUCGUAAGAAUUCAGAAAAGCUAAGAAACAAAACUAAUAAGAACUUAUCUCAACCAUGUUGUUUUGUGAUUGGAAAUGGGGUAUUGUGCGGCUUGAACUUCUGCCAUUGGCAGAGAAGACUGGAAUAGCUGGAGAUAGAAUUGCAUUGGCCCGAGUCUAAAUUGCCACUGAAUAAAUUGGCUGUCAGCGGAUUCAGUUCCCAUCAUCAACCUGGUGCUUUGAUGGACGACCCUGAUUUCUCAACAUGUGAAACUGCCCCUUUCGUAGCUGCACAAAACAGGUGCCUCCAUGCAACACAGCAGCUCCAGGAGCUGAGACACCUGCACAGUGGACACACCAGCUGACAAUGAGGGCUGAAGCCUAGGUUGUAGUCACAGAGUGAAUACCUGAUUGCUUGGAAAAAUCACGGUCAUCUUCAAUGACUCCUGUGGAUAUAUGCUUGGACAAAUCACCCCUCUAACAGCACGCACACCAGCUACAAAGUAUGUAAUAGCUCUGAAUGUUACAAAGUAUGUACUUGCUCUGAAUAUUGAGAAUGGUCACACCCUAUCCAGAACCUGUUUUUAAAUAAGCACUUUCUUAACAACAGGCCACAUCAAGGGUCAGCACACUACAGCCCACAAACCAAAUUCCAACACCUAUUUUGUACGGUCCGUGGGUCUCAUAUUUCAAAAUUUGUAAAUGGCUGGAAAAAAAAAAAUCAAAAGAGGGAUGAUUGAUAACACAUGGAAAUCAUGUGAAAUUCAGAUGUCAAUGUCCACAGCCAAGCUUCACUGGCAGACAGCCACGUAUGUGCACCUCUGGUGCCGCUUUCAGACUGCGAAACAGGGGGCUCUGGCCAGGCGCUGAAUCAGCAUGGAUACACCGGCUUCUCCCCAGACAGGUUUGCCAAAAGGCGUGUCUGACGUCAUUGCUCCUGUCCUGUGAUGAGCUAAGCUCCGGGGCCACUUCAGCUGGGUGGGCGGCCAUUAAUUGCAGGAGUCCCUCUGUGUUCCUUUGUGUUUAGAAAAAAUGUGACAGGUGCAGCCACACUGGCGACCCACACUUCCCUCGCAGGGAGCUGGGGAGGAGUCGUGCUGGCCACCAUCUCAGAGACUGUGCUCCAGCCAUUUUUUCUCAUGCUGGGAUGGAUAGUGCACAGGUUCUACAUCUCUUUCACGUCGUUAUUAAAAAGGAGCCCCUUCUCACGCACCUGUCUCCGCAGAGGUGCAGACACACCUGUUGUAGGCACGCACUUGCAGAGCGGCUUGCAACCACACAGGUGCCAUUGACCCCGGCCCAGCACCCAUUCUGCUGUCAGCUAGACUUAGUUCUGUUUCCCGGCUCACCUGAUAUGGGCUGGUUAUGGAGGGAGAGGAGCUGAGCAGAGAGAAGCACAUGCCUGAGCGAUGAUGAACUGACCAAGGAGCCUGCCUCUGAGAUCCCCGAACUUGAGAUGAAGAAGCUGCUCAUGGAACUAUGCAGGUCCGGGGCGUCCGCCUCCUGUUUCCUUCUCUUACCUGUUUCUUUCUAGUGUCCCUCUGGAGAUGGAUUCCAUGCAGUUUAAUAAUUUUUUUGAACUUAAAGACAAAACGAUAAGGACUCAUCUCAGGACAGCAUGGUCCCCACACCUUACCAACCCCGCGGACAGUGGCGCUCAGUUGGACCUCCACAGUCUCUCGCCGUGGUUGACAGGGUCUGAUGAGGAAGAUCAUCCGAGCUGGCUGCCUCUCCUCCCCUUUGCAACCCUGUGGGUUUGCUCUGCUGGCCUCUGAAAUAACACGUAAUGAAACACAGCCCUUUUCUGCAUCAUGAGCAGGAGCAUAUAGAAGGCAAUUAUGUUGCUUCUUGCAGCUUUGCCCUCCUGCUCUUGCCAGUAAAAGCCCAUUUUCCAAUCCUUCUUCAGCCAGAGCACCUUCUCUUGGACUCGGCAGCCUGUCCAGCUCAGUGCAGGGAGCUCAGGUCAGAAAUUCUGCACACACAACCUCUGCCGAGCUCCUCAGAUUUGACUUGGAGUGUUUUGCCUGGUUAUGCACAUUCCUGGGAGCUGUUUUCUGGGCAAAACCCUAACAGUGAUCACAAAGACAAAUACAGCUGAAGCUUUGAUGGCACAGAUGUUUUCUUUCUCAGAAACACUUUGUUAAUUUACAGAGGAAUCUGGGAGAAUUUUGAGCUCAUUUCAUUGACUAUUUCCAAAAAUCAUUCCAAUAUCAUUCAAGGUGAAAACAAAAAUCUUCUCAAAAUGUCUCGUCAACAUGCAGAGCAUUUUGUGUCAGAAGACAGAUCGGAGAAAUGAGAUUCACAAGUAUUUAGAACUGAGCCAAAGGCUAACAAAUUCAAUGGAAUUUUGAUUACUGAUUUCAGGAUACUUUACUAUGCGUGGCACACAGGGGUUAACACUAAGCUGAAUUUAUUAUGCGUCUUUAUUUUUGGGUUGGAAAACGAAGCCAAACAAUAAUCCCUUUGUUAUUUCUGAACUGAUCCCAAUUUGGAAUGUGUUGUAACCACCCCCAAGGAAAGGAGUGUACAAUGCAAAUGGCACAAGAGAAGUUAAAACACACACAUGGGAAAUAGCAAGUCGUGUUGAGCCUGGCUAAUUUGAGUUAAUAGAUCUGGAGACCAGCAAUUCUGAUCGGUCGGCAGGGAACCGCUUGGAAAGCCAUGAGCAAUUGUGGUGGGACAGACCUUUUAGUUUCAAGACAGAUACAGUUUGCGCUAGGAGGAGGUGAAUGCAGCUACACCCCAGGAAUCAUUGAGCCCUGGGGUAUUCUUCCCACUGUCACAGCAAUGAAGCCGGAGACGUCUAAGUGGUCAGAAUGAACCCUGCGACACUCAGCAUCCCCCAGCUGCAAUAGAUGUGAUACAAGUUGAGAGGACGUAGGAAGGGAAAUAGCAGGGGAAGGAAAAAUGUGCUUGAAGAUGUUUUAAACGAACGAGAGUCUGCAGAAUAGUCUUCUCCUUUAUAGAAGACGGGAAAUACAGGGAAGAUAUUUUUAAAGGGAUAUUUUUACAACCGCAUAAUAUUAUGGGCACCAUUUAAUUGCAUGCAAAUGAUAGAGAGAGACUCAGAGCAUAAAAAUAUGAUUUCAAUUCCUAUCUUAGAUGCGAGGCUUCACGUGAAAAUUAAAAAGCUAUAAACAGGAAGGAGGUGAGGGGAAGGUUGAUGCAGUCUUGUAGGCAGAAUCAGAGUUUGCGACUUAGAAACAGCGUCACGUUGAGAAUGCGUGUUUCCAGAGAAGUGCUUUAAGCAUUCUACCUCAUUUCAAAUGGACAGCAGCUUUUGUUCCUGUGUCCUGUGCUAUCAGGAGGAGCAUAGUGCAAAACAGAUGGCAUCCAUGGCCUCAAUGCCAAGAUUCGAAAUCCCCUGCCCAACUGUAACAGCAAUGUCCUUUCAAAUUUUAAUAACACCUGUCACCCAGGGACUCAUGACCCUCCUCCAGUUUCAUUAUAGGCACCAUUUCCAUUAGGUUGCUGUCUGUUUUGUUAUCCUCUGCCGGGGAAGUCUCACAUGAGGGCUGUGCAAACAGGCAUACACCGUGAUUCCGGUUGGUUAAUAUAUUUUUAAAAGUCCUGGAUAAUCAUUGGAUUCACAAUUCCCUAUGUAUUAGCUCCUGGUGUGUCUAAUUACUACCUUAAUUUUUACUGCACUACAUGUCCCCAGUCCAUGCAUUUAAAGAAACUGAACUCUAAAUGUGCUUUAUCCUUCAAACAUCCACAAAAAGUCUCUCUUCUUUGUCCACAGUCCACUCGUGCAAAUUUUACCUCCUUGGACCCGAGAGCCAAACAGCAAUAGGACUGCCCAUAUUCCUCGCAUGGGAAUAUCUAAUGGGGUAGUUCAUUGAACACAAAUACUACUACUGAAAGAUACUGAGGGGGGCCAGCACUGUGGCGAAGUGGGCUAAGCCUCCGCCUGCAAGGCCGGCAUCCCAUACGGGCUCUGGUUCAUGUCCAGGCUGCUCCACUUCUGAUCCAGCUCCCUGCUAAUGGCCUGGGAAAGCAGUGGAAGAUGGCCCAAGUGCUUGGGCCCCUGCACCUGCCUGGGAGAUCCGGAGGAAGUUCUUGACUCCUGUCUUCCAAUCAGCCCACUUCCGGCCAUUGGGGACCUUUUGGGGAGUGAACCAGUGGAUGGAAGACCUCUCUCUUUUCUCUGUGUCUUGGUCCAUAACUCUGCCUCUCAAAUAAAUAAACAUAUUGUAAAAAAAAAAAAAAGAAAGAUACUGAGGGCAGUUUGAUCUCCACCCCACCAUGUGCCAUUUAUCAGGGUAUCUGUCAAAUUCCUCUGGCACCUCCACUUACCCACCUCACCCUCACUCCAAAGAUCCCAAGGUUCACUCCUUACUCCUUGUUACAUUCAAGAGAGCACAUAAUUACAAAUAGAUUUAUUAUCCUAGAUGAGUAUUUGAUUCAAACAAAAUGAACUUCUAGCCAUAGUCCACUGAUGGGACCAGCCCACAUUCUCACCAUCCUCAGUGUUGGUGAUUCAUCCAGGAGGUAUUUAGCUAAGUGUUCCAUCAGGUGCUUCAUUCAAGACAUGAACUCCAGCCGCUGAUUGCUUGACUUGCCACUUUUACAUAUGCAACUCGGUGGAUCAAGAGUGUUGGUGACAGGGUUGCUGGCAGCCUAGACCACGCGUAUUUUCCCUAGCAAUUCACAACAACAGCACAACAAUAACCGGCAUGUACAUGUGGUUUACCCUUGGCCGGGCUCUGACGUAGACACUUUGCCUACAUCGGUUCCUGGGAAUCCUAUGACGUAGGCACCGGGAGGUUAAGAAACUCAGCAAAGACACGCAGGUGCAGCCCGUGUGCUCAGUCAGUCAAGGAAUGAACCCCAACCCAGGCCUCUGUCCGUACUGGAUCACCUGUGGAUCACUCUGUCCUUACUGGAUCACCUGUGGUGCAGAGGUGCUUACACAGGGCUGGUCGCAUAAUCUGCAGGGUACAGUACCAAGGGAAGGGAAGGCCCCAUGUUCUAAACUUCUCUGAAGUCCUGGCAGUGAGAACAGAGCCAGUGUGCACAGGUCCGUCCCCAGGGGGCCGGCUCUGCGUGUGAGGAUCUGAUCCUCCGCUGUCCUGAGCUGGGCACUCCACCUGCAGAUUCUGCCACGGUGAGCACUUGCUUACCAGACCCCAAUCCCUGUCCUUCACAGAGGAGAAGGGAAGUACAUAUCCAGAUCAGUGGAUGCCCCUUGGUUUCAUCCACUGAGAUGCAAUUUGGCUUCAUGGUUAAGUCUUAUCCACAUGCAAACACAGCACUGCCAGGGUUGGCGUAUCCAUUGGGCACACACACACACUCACACAUUUUUUGUUUUAAAAAUUAAGUUUGAGGGGCCGGCGCCCUGGCUCACUUGGUUAAUCCUCCACCUGCGGCGCCAGCAUCCCAUAUGGGCACCGGGUUCUAGUCCCGGUUGCCCCUCUUCCAGGCCAGCUCUCUGCUGUGGCCUGGGAGGGCAGUGGAGGAUGGCCCAAGUGUUUGGGCCCCUGCACCCCCAUGGGAGAUCAGGAGAAGCACCUGGCUCCUGGCUUCUGAUCGGUGCAGCGCCAGCUGUGGCGGCUAUUUGGGGAGUGAACCAAUGGAAGGAAAACCUUUCUCUCUGUCUCUCUCUCUCACUGUCUGUAACUCUACCUGUCAAUAAAUAAAAAUUAAAAAUUAAAAAAAAAUUGAAUUGGACACAAUAUUUGUACGUAGUCGUAUUUAUGGGAUGCAGUAUGACAAUGAGAUGCAUAUGCACAAUGUGAUGAUGAGAUAGUGGUAUGUGUUUGGAGCCCACAAACUCCUGUCUCCCGUUCAUCACCCUACUGUGCUGGGGUCAUUAUUCGUCUGCAGAAUUCACCUUUCUAAGGAGGAUAGCACCUCAUACAUCACCAGGGCUGCUCAGCCCCAGACCUCUGCAUCACACAUCAUUUCUUCCAGAGCUAGCAGGGUUUUUUUUUUUUUAUUCCAGAAACACGAAUGACAGAAAUAUGGUGGGUUUUUUUAUUUUUAAGAUUUUAUUUAUUUAUUUGAGAGGUAGAGUUACAGACAGUGAGAGGGAGAGACAGAAAGGUCUUCCAUCUGCUGGUUCACUCCCCAAAUGGCCGCAACGGCGAGCUGAGCUGAUCAGAAGCCAGGAGCUUCUCCUGGGUCUCCCACGGAGGUGCAGGGGCUCAAGCACUUGGGCCGUCUUCUACUGCUUUCCCAGGCCACAGCAGAGAGCUGGAUCAGAAGUGGAGCAGCUGGGCCCAUAUGGGAUGCUGGCCCCACAGGAGGAGGAUUAACCUACUUCAUCCCAGCGCCGGCCCCAAACUGUUGGUUUUAUAUUCAUAUUUAUUUCUUAAAUUUCACAAAUCAACAAGUCAGACUUACUCUGUCCUCGCAUAUUGUGAAAGAAUGGCAAUUUCCGACUUUUCUCGUGAAGAAUGCCUGGCUUGUUGACUUUGGAUGGUCUGUGUCUGCCUGACACCCCUUCAGACCCCACAUUCAAGGAGUUAACGUGACAACUGCUCCGGACUCCAGUCCUUGCUUUCCACUUCAUUUCACAGUCAGAGUUUCCAUUGUCCCCUUGAACUUGGAUUGCGAGACACCUCCUCCCAGUCUCCCCCAAACACCGCUCAUCCAGCCUCUUCACUCCUCCCAGAAGAGCUAACAAAGGUCACCUGCAUGCUAAGGAGUUUGCUUUUAUGCUUAGAUUCCCUUAGACAUUCUCAUUUGCAUACUAAAUGGCUUUACACAAUGCUUUGCAUCUUAUUAUGUUCAAUUUUAGAAAAGUGAGUAUUUUGCUUACCUUUUCUUCACCUGCCUCUCCCAUACCAAAAGUUGGAACUGACUUCUUCCUGUGUGUUUCUAACCCCCACACCUAAAUGAACCAACUCCUCAUAGCCUGAUCCCUGAAAUUUUGCUUACAGAAUUAUAAAAGUAAAUAAUUUUGUUCAACAAACUUACAGACAAUUCAAAUAUUCAACCUAAAAUUCAUUCCACCAAAGAAGGUAUUUAAACAACAAAGGAGCCCCCCCCCCCAAGCAUUGUAGCCUUGAGUUAUUUGUGUGGUGAAAAGACUCAUUUGCCUUUGGUUAGAUGGAGGACACAUUUCAGUGUAAUCUUGACGAUGCUGACAGUCUGCAGAGCAAAGACGUAUUGCUAGCUGUGUGUCUUGAUUCGUUUCUCUAACCAGAACAGAGAAAUUUGUUGCUCAUAGUUCUGGGUGCUGCACAGCCCAGUUGCCAUGGUGCCUGCAUCUGGUGAGGGCCUUUGUUCUGUGUUCUGAUGGGUGGAGGCUAAAGGGGAGAGGGAAAGGGAGCUGAACUUGCCCUAGAUAACUGUGCAAUCCCGCCCACAGGGGCAGAGCCUAGUCACCUUCCAAAGUGUCCCCCUCUCAACGCUGUCACCAAGGCGAUGCGUCCAGAGGGAAGAGGGGCUCAGGCUCAGCACUGUGGCCAUCAGCUUCUAAGAGAGCCUGCAGCCGAUGCUGCAGCACAGCGGAUAAAGCUACCGGCUGCUCCACUUCCAACCCAGCCUCUGCUGUGGCCUGGGAGGGCAGUAGAAGAUGGCCCAGGUCCUUGGGCCCCUGCACCCGUGUGGGAGACCCGGAGGAGGCUCCUGGCUCCUGUGUUUGGAUCAGCCAGCUCUGGCCAUCAUGGCCAUUUGGGGAGUGAACCAGUCAAUCAAAGAACUCUCAUUCUCUCUCUUUCUCUGUCUCUCUGUAACUCUGCCUUUCAAACAACUAAAUAAUUCUUUACUAAAUAAACAAGACAGAACAUGCCUCUCUAGUGGCGUCUUCAAUCUUCCUGUUGGAAGGGGGCUGAAUUUAUUGACUUGGUUCUAAUAUUAGAGUAAGACAGUGGGCACGGUGUGACUCAGGCUAGGUGGCACGUGGCUGCGUGAUUCCUCUCCCUGUCUCUCUCCCAUGACCAUUAGCUCCGAUGGAAACCAGAGACCAGGUUCCUGACCAACUGGGGCCUAACGGUGAGAACCGAGGCCUGCUCCCAGCCAGAGCCCCCAGCCCAGCGCAGUUCUGAGCUGAGGGCCACCUCAGGGCCCUCAGAAACCAGAGUGCUCCCCAUUGCAAGCCGCCAGGUUUCAGGGGUAAUUUGCUGCACAGUAGCUGUAACUAACGCGCUGGACCAACCUUGCUGAGAACAGAGCUGAAGGGAGGAGGUCACUCCAGAUGUUUGUCGUGCUGGACCUUUUGCUCUUGUGUUUCUUAUUUAGGAUGCGCUAUUUUUAUAGUUAAUUCAAGAACGAAUGAAUGCCUUGGACCAACUGGACUGGUGUUCUUAGAAGCAGAGGCUAGGACCAGAGAUAAACACAGAGGAGAACCAAGGACAUCAGUCCGCUUCCUGUGCUGUAACUGCAUCCUGGCGUGGGGGAAUACAACAAAGCUGAGAGUUAACUGCAGAGCCCCAGAGGCUGGGAAGUGGAGCAUCCAGGAGGCAGCGUCUGGUGGGGGCCUUCCUGCCGCGCUGGAUGCUGGGGAGGCGUCACACUGCAAGAGACAGGCAUGGAAGCGUGUUUCUGACCAGGCCACUCGGGCCUCAUGGCCCCCGCUAAUCCUGACCUCCCAAGGCCCUGCCUCCCACGCUAUCCACCUAUGAACUUGAAGAUGAUAUUUCCAACACGUGAGCUUUCUAAAAACACACCAGCACAGGCGUUCCCAGGGAAGAGAAUCAGGAGGCAAGCUCCUCCCUGUGGCUGGACGGGGCUGGGACCUGCGUCCUGGGCUUCCACUCCAUCCUUAGGCUCCGGAGAGGUACGCACUUUGCUCUUGGAAGUUUCCUGAAUAUGCUUGCCUGCAUUUAACCGUCUUGACUUGACGCUCAACAGUUUCACCUUAUAAAUCUUUGAAAAUAGAAUAGGUCAAGCCAGUUAGGGUCAAGUACAAAGCCUUAUUAACUGGUUUGUUCAUAAUGAGAUAAAUACAAUUUAAAAUCAGAAGAUUUUGUAAAGCGGCAGUUAUCUUUGAGGAAAGCAGAGGUGAAAGAAAUCCAUUUUGUGAGUGCUUUUUAUGUGGAAAAAUGCGUGUAACAUUUUGAACCUCACAUCCUGAAACCCGCCUCGUGAUGCCCCUCCUUAUUCUCAUACAGAUUUGCAAAAAGCAAUUUCAUUUGGGCCAUUAAGAGGGCGGCGAGGUUAUCAGAGAUAAAAUGACAUGAUGUCUAGUGUUUGCUUUCCAUGAGGGGAGGCAGAUGAGAUAAGAUUGAAAAAAUGUUAAUAGUUCAAACAGUGUGAUGAAUACAUAGAAUUCCUUUUACACAUGUGUAUUGUUUUUAAUAUGUUUGAAUUUUCCUAAUGACAAAAUAAUGGUAAACUCUCCACAUAUUGCCACUGAAGUCCUUGGCUUUAAUAUUUGGCAGCUUAGUUACAAAUUUCCCAUCUUUACAAAUACAGAGAAAUGAUUUUCAGGUAGGAUCUACUUUGGUGUUGGAGCAAGAGGGCUAAUUUUUUUUAAGAUUUAUUUAUUUAUUUAAAAGGCAUAGUUACAGAGAGGGAGAGAAUGGAGAGGCAGAGAGAGAGAGAGAGAGAGAGAGAGAGAGAUGUCUACCAUCCACUGGUUCACUCCCCAGAUGGCCACAACGGCCGGAGGUGUGCCUAUCUGAAGCCAGGAGCCAGGAGCUUCUUCCGAGUUUCCCACAUGGGUGCAGGGGCCCAAGGACUUGGGCUGUCUUCUACUGCUUUCCCAGGCACAUUAGCAGGGAGCUGGGUCAGAAGUGGAGCAGAAAGCACAUGGGAUGCCGGUGCUACCGGUUAUGGCUUAACCAGCUAUGCCACAGCACCAGCCCUGGCUAUUUUUUUAUGUUUUAUUUAUUUAUUUUGAAUGUCAGAAUUACAGACAGAGAGAAAUCUUCUAUCAGUUUGCCCAUUCCUCAUGGGCUGGCACCAUGGCAUAGUGGGCUAAGCCUCUGCCUGCAGUGCUGACAUACCAUAUGGGCAUGGGUUCAAAUCCUAGCUGUUCCACUUCUGAUCUAGCUCUCUUCUAUGGCCUGAAUGGCUGCAAUGGCCAGGGCUGGGCGGGACCAAAGCCAGGAGCCAGAAGCUUCAUCCAGGUCUCCCAUGUGGGUGGCAGGAGCCCAAGCACUUGGGCCAUCUUCCACUGCUAUUCCCAGGCCAUUAGCAGGGAGCUGGACUGGAAGUGGAGCAGCUGGGACACAAACCAGUACUAGGGAAUGGGCCCCUAGGCAGAGGAUAAAGGGGAAUCAGGCAACAGUACCUGGCAUGGACAGCCAUCUCUGACCCUAUCCUUCAGUAGGCAUUCUUGUGGCCAUAACCCAGUAGAGGGGAAAGCACUUAGUUGUGACUGGAUGGCCAGGGAGGGCGGGAGCUGAUGUGGAAUCCAUCUGUAGCUGUCCCAAUCCAAGAUUGGCGCUUAAGGGAACUGAUUCAGCUAAGAAAGAGCAAAUGGCAAGGAUGACAGUGCCGUGUGUGAGGAGGAACAGAGUCCCCUCUCAUGAUUGGAGAUUUGGGAAAGGCAGCUCUUUGGAACCAAAGAUGAGGCAAGACUGACAGGUGCUCAAGCCACCCUGACAGCUGUGUCAGAGGGGAGCUGGGCUCCUGGCCAGGUCUGACGCAUUGAACAGAUCCCCUGGGGGACAGCCCUGCUGGCAGUCUAUGGGGGUGUGGAAUUCCUAGUUCCUUGGAUGUUCGACUGUUAACAUGGUGCCUUCUGUAUGAUCAGCUCAGAUAUUUGAGUGCUUGCAUGAUUGCCAUUGUGGGUGUAUGAUAAACAGGUUUAUUUUUCUAAGAUAGAGAUUAAGAAGGCAAGAUGUGAUAUUUAUUAGUGAUGUGUUUCUUGGUUUGAUUUUUUUUCUCAUGAUACAUUUUUCAUGAACUUUAUUUUUUAUUUAAAGAAUACAAACUUCAUGCAUUUAAUACAUACAAAUUUGGGAACAUGGUGAUUCUUCCUUCCCUGCCUCCCUUCCACUCUUACUCCCUCCCUUCUUCCUCCUCCUUCUCCCUCUCUCACUCUUCUUUUUUAUAUAGAUCUAUUCUCAGUUAAUUUUAUACUCAUCAGAUUAACCCUACACUAAGUAGAGAGUUCACUGAACAGUAUGAAGGAAAAGGAACAAAAGUAAACAAACAAGAAAAACAGUGUUCCUCUGCAGUUAAGACAAGGGCUGUUCGAAUUCAUUGCAUUUCAAGGUGUCAGUUUCACUUGGAUAGAUUACCUUUUAGGUACUUUUAUUAGUUACCACAGAUCAGAGAGAUCACAUUGUGUUUGUCUUUUUGUGACUGGCUUGUUUCACUAAGUAUGAUGUUUUCCAGUUACAUCCAUUUUGUUGCAAAUGACAGGAUUUAAUUUUUUUUUACCACUGUGUAGUAUUCCAUUGUGUGUGUGUAUAUAUAUAUAUAUAUAUAUAUAUAUACACAAUAAUUUCUUUAUCCAGUCUUCAGCUUAUAGACAUCUAGGUUGAUUCCAUAUCUUAGCUAUUGCAAAUUGAGCUGAAAUGAACAUGGCGGGUACAGCUCACCUCUUCAUAUGCUGGUUUAAUUUCCUUUGGAUAAAUUCCCAGGAGUGGGAUUGGUGGGUCUAUAUUCAGCUUUCUGAGGUAUCUCCAUUCUGUCUUCACAGUGGCUGUACCAGUUAACAUCCCCACCAACAGUGGAUGAGGAUGCUUUUCCCCAUAUCCUCACCAGCAUUUGUUGUUUGUUGAUUUGACUUUUCAAAGAUACACACGAUGUUCUCUCUUUCUUGGCUCGCUCCUUAGCCAUUUUCUAUAGGUAAAGUGGAUGGAUUUAAUGUGGAAUAUAUUAGUUAUAUUAUCAAAACUUUUCUAGAUGUCAAGGUUUUGUUUUUUUUUUUUUUUUUUUGAAAGGAAAGAGUUUUGAGUCUCUUUGUCUCCCUGAGUUAAGCAGCAUUUUAAUCUGGAGUUUAUACCUCUGGCUUACACCUUUUGGGGGUUGAAAUGUGUCCUUCAAAAAGAUAUGUUCAGGUACUAAUCCUCAGAGUCUGCAGAGGUGAGCCUAUUUAGGAAUAGGAUCUUUGCAGCUAUGAUUGAGUUAGAUGAGGUCAUAGUAGCUUAGCAUGGGUAGGGAUACAGAGACAGAGAUGCAUACAGGGAGAAUCCCAUGCACCAACAGGUGGAUUGGAGCGAUGUACCUGGAGGCCCAGGAAGGCCAAGCAUUGUCACUAACCCAUAGCAGCCAGGAAGAGGCAAGCAAGGGUCUUCUCCCAGAGCCAUCAGAGGGAGCAUGAACCUGCAAUCACCUGGAUUUCAGACUUCAGACCUCAGGACCUGGAAGAGAAAAAAGUGUUGGGCCACCCAGUUUGUGGCACAUUGCUGUGGAAGCCCUAAGAAAACAUAGCAGCCAGGGAAUGGAGACGCUAAGCAUGGGAGCCCAGUGUUCUUCGAACUCAUUCCUAUGAUGGUCCACAGAGAAUGUCCAUUAUUUGUAUGGCACUUUGGGGAAAGUGGAAAUAUUUGCAAAGGUGAUCUUAUGGGGCAUUAUGAAGAAAAUCACUGUAUUGUUUAUACUACAUAGGUGUUGAGAGACAAUUACCCUUGGGUCUCCCCAGUUUCAGACACCUUACACGCACAGUCACUGAUGACUGUGGGAGACAUGUUGUCAUCCUCCGAGCAAGGUGGCAGGUAUGCUUAGUCUCCCUUUUAAUGAAUCUGACUUUCCUAAGGUUAGAGUUCCUCUUCUGUAAUGCAGCCCAGGCAAUAUGAAGCUGUUACCUGGCCCUGUCCAUGUCGUCCUGUGGGGCUUGGGCACUGAUGCAAAAGUAUAGCUACUCAGGAGACCGCGACUGCUGCGAGUAAUAUCUUUUUCCUUGGACACACGAAUCUCCUGUUUUCUGUCAUUGUCCAAAAAGUUUAUCAGGCUAACUUGUCUGUUUGCAAAGACCAAUUCUUAGAGCCUUUGCAAGUCUCAGCAAUAAUUAUGCCAAGCAUGAAGAUAAAAAUAUUAGAUGCAAUAUUCAUUGAAUUUGUAUUAACAAUUCAAAUCACUUUUCAAAUAUUUUAAUGAGGAUAGUUCUUAACUUUCGUAUCAGGAUUUUGCCUUGCAAGACUCACAUCUCAGCUUCUGAUCAAGGCUGUUCAGUUUUGAUCUUAAAGUCUUUUUUUUUUUUUUUUUUUGACAGGCAGAGUUAGACAGUGAGAGAGAGAGAGAGAGAAAGGUCUUCCUUUUUCCAUUGGUUCACCCCCACUAAGUGGCCGCUACAGCCGGCGCACCGCGCCAAUCCGAAGCCAGGAGCCAGGUGCUUCUCCUGGUCUCCCAUGGGGUGCAGUGCCCAAGCACCUGGGCCAUCCUCCACUGCCUUCCCGGGCCACAGCAGAGAGCUGGACUGGAAGAGGAGCCACCAGGACAGAAUCCAGCACCCCGACUGGGACAAGAACCUAGGGUGCCAGCGCCGCAGGCAGUGGAUUAGCCUAGUGAGCCCCGUUGCUGGCCUUGAUCUUAAAGUCUUGUCACUUGGGGGAGCUUUGUGAUGUAGUGGAUUAAGCCUCUGCCAGCAAUGCUAACAUCCCGUAUCAGUGCUAGUCCCUUUCCUGGCUGCUCCACUUCCGAUCCACUCCCUGCUAAUGGCCUGGAAAAUUGGUGGAAGAUGGCCCAAGUGUUUGGACUCCUGCCAGCCAUGUGGGAGACCCAGAAGAAGCUCCUAGCUUAGGCCUGGUCCAGCCCUGGCCAUUGUGGUCUUCUAGGGAGUGAACCAGACAAUGGAAGAUCUGUCUGUCCAUCUUUCUCUGUAACUGUGAUUUUCAAAUAAAUAAUAAAAAUCUUUCUUUUUUAAAUUUUUGUGUCUCCCCAAAGAAACCCUUUAUUUAAGGAAUGCAAACUUCAUGCAUUUCUUAAGUACAACUAGUGAUUCUUCCCACCGUCCCGCCCUCCCACUCACACUCCCACCUCUCCUCCUCCUCCCUCUCCUCUUCCUAGUCUCAUUCUCCACCAAGAUCCAUCUUCAAUUAACUUUAUACACAGAAGACCAACUCUAUACUGAGUAAAGCGAUCAACAAUUUGCACAAAAAAAUAAAAAUAAAAAAUGUUCCUCAACAGUUGAGACAGGGGCUGUUCAAAGUCAUUGCAUCUCAAAGUUAAUUUCACUUUUUUGAAAAAAAAAAAAAAACUUAAUUAACUUUAAAGAAGCAGCCAAGAAUGAUACAUCUUUUGUGAGCACUCUGAAAUAAUUAUAACUUAUGGGACAUAAGAAUAUCCUCCACUUAAUUCAUUAAAAGAGAGUAAGUCCUUGAAAAUGAGUUUUAUCAUUAAUUAAGGAAGCACCUAAGAAAACAAGCAAUGAAGAUGGACACUUAGGCAUAACUAAAACUUAUGCAACAUAAGAAUAUUCUCCAUUUAAUACACUAAAAUGAAAUAAAUCUUUGAGUACAACUUUUACUAUUAACUCUCAUCAUACAGCUCUUUGAGGACAGAGAUCCUACAAGAGAAGUUAGUGUAUAGUGACUCCCGUUGUUAAUUUAACAAUUAACACUCUUAUGCAUGAUGUCAGUGACCACCCGAGGCCCCCCACAUGUGCUGCCGAGACUAUGGAAGCCUUCCAAAUCCGUGAAUUUUGUCAGUAUUUAGACAAGGCCAUAAGCAAAGUGGAAGCUCUCUCCUCCCUUCAGAGAAAGGACCUCCUUCUUUGAUGGCCCAUUCUUUCCACUGGGGUCUCACCCACUGAGAUCCUUCAUGUAGGACAUUUUUUGCCUCCGUGUCUUGGCUUUUCAUGCUGGAAAUGCUCUCGUGAGCUUGUGCAUUGAGCUGCAAUAAACAUGGGCUGCAGAUAACCUUCCUAUGCUGAUUGACUUUCCCUUGAGUAAAUCCCCAGGAGUGGGAUGGCUGGGUCAUAUGGCAGGUCUAUAUUCAGAUUUCUGAGUUAUCUCCAUACUGUCCUUCUAUAGUGGCUUUACCAGUUUACAUUCCCACCAACAGUGGAUUAGGGUACCUUUUCCCCACAUCCUCACCAGCAUUUGUUGUUUAUUGAUUUCUGUAUGAAAGUCAUUCUAACUGGGGUGAGGUGAAACCUCAUUGUGGUUUUGAUUUGCAUUUCCCUGAUGGCUAGUGAUCCUGAGCAUUUUUUCAUGUGUCUGUUGGCCAUUUGGAUCUUGUCUUUUGAAAAAUGUCUGUUCAAGUCCUUUGCUCAUUUCUUAACUGGGUUGUUUGUUGUUGUUGAGUUUCUUGAUCUGUUUAUAUAUUCUUGUUAUUAAUCCUUUAUCUGUUGUAUAGUUUGCAAAUAAUUUCUCCCAUUCUGUCAGUUGCUGUGGGGAGCAAACCGGACUAGACUGAGUUACUGGAAUUAGGACUUAUUCUAUGCAUCUGCUCUCCCACAAUAUGGCGCUGGGAGAGAAGUAAACAGCUUCCGCACAGCUGCCUCCAGUUCAACCAAUAAACUGUAGGACCUGCUCCUGAUUGGAGGAGAGCAGCGUACUCGGCGUGUGGGCAGCCGAGUUAGGAUUGGCGGAGGAGGACUAUAAAGGAGGAGAGAGACGGCAUGCACCAGGAACAUCUAAGGGGAACAUGUAGCUGAAGGAACACCUGUGCAGCCCCCCCGAGAGAGCCGGCCGGCGGUGUGCCGCUCCCCUGCGGAAGUGGGGAAUGUGGCCAGGGGGAACUGCCCUUCCACGGAGGUGGAAGGGAUAGUAGCCAACCCGGGAAGAACCAGCAGCAAACCCGGGGAGGGCCGAGCAGACGAAAGAAUAGCGCAGGGUCCUGUGUCGUUCCUCCACGAAGAGGGGGAGCGACAAGUUGCCUCUAAAAAAAUUCUUGUCAUGUUCCACAAGAAACUAUUUUGAUUCAACUAAAUGGUGAAAUUUUCUAAAUCAUGUUUUUCAAUCAUUUGAAAAAAUUAUAGUGUAAAAUGCAAACAUGAAGAUACUUCAGAAAGUUCAGAGAAAACUAGAAUUAAAAGAUAAGUUUAUUUUGGGCUCCUUAGAAUGUACAUGGAAAGUGUGCAUUAUGAAAAUGUUGUGCUUAGAUUCCAAAAAUUUCUUUUUGCUUCCCGUAAAUGUAUCCUUUAAUUCCACAAACCUUUUAAAAGUAUUUAUUUGUUUAUUUAUUUAAAAGACAAGUUACAGAGAGAGGGGGGGAGAGACAGAGAGAAAGUGAGAUCUCCCAUCUGCUGGUUCACUCCCCAAAUGGUGGUAAUGGACAGGGUGAGCCAGGCGGAAGUCAGGAGCAUGGAGAUCCAUCCAGGUCUCCCACGUGGGUGCAGGGGCCCGAGCACUUGGGCAUGCUCCAUUGCUUUCCCAGGUGCAUUAGCAGGGAGCAACUGAGACUCAAACCAACAUAAGGGAUGCCAGAGUUGCAAGUGGUGUCUUAACCCUCUGCACCACCACGCCAGCCUCUCUACAAAUUUUUGAAGUCCCCCUGUAAACUUAAAAUGUGGGAAAACUUUCAAAUAUAGUGCUUUGAAAUAAUGGUGAGGAAUUCAUCAACAGAAAACACAAACUAGCUUGAGCCCUGCAGGCAACAUCAUCUGCUUAAAGGAUCAGAAGCCCUCCCACUCCUUCUCUCCCUCCUGUGGGGAGCCAGCCAGGAGUGGAGCCCCCAGUGCUCACCUGUGAAGGGCACAGAGCUUUCUGGAGCCCACUGCUGCAGUAGACGGGUUGCACUGGGUAACAGCACUCUGGCUGCACUGUGUUCCUGGGUUUUUGUCUGGACCCCGUGCCAAGUCUUCCCACUCCACUGGCCAAGGCUGGCCUCCUCCUUCAGGCCACCCAGAGGCCUAAAGCUGUCACGAUUUCAGCGCACAUCUGUCACCCAUUUACACAAUGGUCCCUUCAAGUGGCUCACUAGCUGCUUGAAUAAAAAUUGAGCUGGGAAGGCUCAACCCAAACAUUUGGAAUCUCAGCUGCCAUCUCUUUGUCACAGCAAACAUCACAUGUUGUCAGCAGAGCAUUGUGCACCCGCUGACCCCUGCCCAUCCUCAAAUAACCUGUGUGAGCUGCCAUGUGCAUCCGUUGUCUCCUCUUCCACUUGGUGCAUCCGAAUCCCUCAGAGUUGAGUGCCAGGGUCCUCCACGGGCACAUCCUGGCCUGUGGCUGAUACCUUGCACCGUCGCCUGUCAACCUGGUCCCUCUCCUGCCCCAGCCAUCCCCGUGCUCCUGGAAGGAAUGCUGAGUGAGCUCCUCCAUCCUCAACCACGUGCCCACCCUGGAUACAUUUUUAUUUUGCUGCCUAUUCCCUUUCCUACGGUCCCUGUGAUAGUGGCCUUUUUGAUACUAAUACUGAUUGGAGUUCUUCUCAUAUUAAUGACAGGACCGGUAAAAUCAGGGUAAGAAGAAAGCAGAAUGAGGUCAGAAAGGAUGUCCGAAUACAUUCGUCAAAAUAAAAAGCUUCCAGAAAGGAGAGAGUUUUUCAUUCAGGAUACCAAGGAGGAGGGCGCUUAAACCUGUGAAUGAGGCAGAUGCAGACCCAGGAACCUGGAGAGCUCAUCUCUCAGCUGUCGCAUCUCCCUGGGAGGUCCUGAUGGUCUACUGUGCUCUUGGCCGCACAGCACCCCCAGGGUUGAAUUCAACCUCAGAUGGGAGCAGGAGGAGCCAGGGCUUCUGCUGGGCAGGCAGGGUGCUGCAGCCGGCAGAGGCCCAAGGGUGCCAUCGUGACUCUGAACACAGCACCUGCAGAGACAGGUCCUCACCAGCCGUGGAGAGGAGACCGUCAACCUUGUGCAACCAAGAAAGGAGAACUGUGGUGAUGCCGCACUCAAGGGGAGGGACUUCUGGUUGGUCCACAGAUGCCAUGAUGAGCUCAGAUGAGUUGGGGGGAGGCAGGGCUGGGCCAAGACCUUGUCAGAAUAGCUGGGGGGGUCUUUCAUCACUUAGGGAGAGACUAAGCCGACUGCUUAUCUGCAGAGAGGGAGACCAAGAACACCUGCUUGUUUCCUCCAAGAAUCAAACCCCAAAGCCUCCCCUGAAGGGAAGCAGGUAUUUCAAACAGUUUUAGCAGCUCGGCAGCACCGACCAUCUUCAUCCCCGAAAUCGACUUAGUUUGUUGCAGAGUGAGCAACCAUUGCAGAACACACAAAUCCAUUACAAAUCACUUAGACAUAGGAAGGCUUGAACAUUUGAUAAAAUCAGCCAUGACUUAAAAUAUCUUAACGGAUGAGUAAAUAAACUGAAUCGAAUUAUCCAAAGGAAAGCAUAGGGUGUUUUUUAUUAUUAUUUUGUUGAUUUUUUGUUACAUUUGAAGAUGUUUUGGUUUCUGUAUUUGAAAUACAAGAUCUUUGUAUCAUUCGUUCUUUUCUUACACUUUGUUGUAUUCGACGUACUUUUAUUGAAUUUCUAGGAAAUGCCUUAGCUUGGCUAAUU
Non-coding RNA from Oryctolagus cuniculus (rabbit), 18516 nucleotides. The record is from RefSeq and is a predicted model, not a curated record. NCBI's taxonomy places the organism in Eukaryota, Metazoa, Chordata, Mammalia, Lagomorpha, Leporidae.